AGUGUGUGACAGGUUAGUACAGUGGUGAACCUAUAGGUCUUCAGUGUGUGACAGGUUAGUACAGUGGUGAACCUAUAGGCCUUCAGUGUGUGACAGGUUAGUACAGUGGUGAACCUAUAGGCCUUCAGUGUGUGACAGGUUAGUACAGUGGUGAACCUAUAGGCCUUCAGUGUGUGACAGGUUAGUACAGUGGUGAACCUAUAGGCCUUCAGUGUGUGACAGGUUAGUACAGUGGUGAACCUAUAGGCCUUCAGUGUGUGACAGGUUAGUACAGUGGUGAACCUAUAGGCCUUCAGUGUGUGACAGGUUAGUACAGUGGUGAACCUAUAGGCCUUCAGUGUGUGACAGGUUAGUACAGUGGUGAACCUA
Long non-coding RNA from Oncorhynchus keta (chum salmon), 369 nucleotides. RefSeq lists it as uncharacterized. The record is from RefSeq and is a predicted model, not a curated record. Lineage: Eukaryota; Metazoa; Chordata; Actinopteri; Salmoniformes; Salmonidae. The transcript has 4 exons.